Molecule: long non-coding RNA, 5728 nt
Organism: Camelus dromedarius (Arabian camel)
Lineage: Eukaryota; Metazoa; Chordata; Mammalia; Artiodactyla; Camelidae
Exons: 3
Source: RefSeq, a predicted model, not a curated record
AGUUCAACUCUACCUAAUUCCAAAUAGCUGCAAGUAUGUAUUUUCUCCUUUCAGUUAUGCUUUCACUCUCCAUUCUGAUUAUUGCAAGUUAUGUAAAUCAAGCCAGAGAAGAGAUUUAAUUCAAUCAACUGUGGGUUUGCUCACACUGAUUUGAAUAUUAGCUGCCGUCUGUAUGUAAAUGACUAGAGAGAAGGAAACUUGUUGCUAUGCACUGUGACCAAUCCUGACGCCAUUCUUACUGGCUAACCUUGUGUCAAGGUCAAGCUCAAAGUCAAAGCGGUUGUGGGAGGAAGAUAAGCCACCUCCCAGGUCUGUGCUUGGGGUAAUUUAUCUAAAAGAUGGCUGGUUUUUUUAGACAGUGUCAGGGAAGUCUCCAUCUUGUCCAUUAUUUAUGAUGUAUGAGAGAGAAGGAUGGAAGGACAGACAGAGAGAGAUUGUUCCCCUUUACCAGGAAUUCUCCAUCCUCUCAAACGAAGCAGCAUUCUUCUCAUACCAGGUCCAGGGAGGCAGCUAAGGUAUUCAUCCCCUGAGGAAAAAUAGGAGACUAGGAUACUUGGAGCUGUUAGGAAGCCGGGAGGAGAGAGACUCUUUCUCUAAAUCUGACAAAGGAUCAAGAACAGAGAAAUUAACAGCACGGAGUGAGUCCUCCGCCUCCAGGGGAGCAAAGGACGAUCUAAGAAAGAAGAUUCCUGGGCGCCACGCCUCUGGCUGCGAACAAACAAAACAUCCUCUCUUUGAAGCGCUGACAUUGCUUUUCCUUGGGGAGAAGGAGCCUGGAGAAGUGGGUUACCUCCCCCCCCCUACUUCUGUAAAGGAGGAAUCAAGGCUCCCAGCAACCAGGGGUCACUUGCGUUGCGACCCCAUCAGGACUACAGUUCAGGCCCUCUGGUUUCUUGUCCCGCGCUUUCUUCACUCGACCAAGUCCAUAAUUCUAACAUCCUACAAAUGUCCUGUGAAAACGUCCACAUGAAAUAUGUGCUCUUUUCUAAGUCUGUUUACUUCUGACCCUGUGGAAAGAUUUGAGAGACAUUAGUAACUUCUUUUUUUAUUUUCUCAAGUCCCUGUGAAGAAAUGACUGUAUCUGCAGUGCUUCUUUUCUGGGCUCUGGAAGGAAUCCAGAGCUGUCACUGUGUUUUCCAUUUGGCACAUUUUCAAGAAUCUCGUUGCUGUUUCCUGGAGGUCGCCCUGCAGAACUCCAUCGAGUGCCUCUGACAGGUUGGCCGAGGCAAGAACUCAGGCAUCCUGGAGCCUUGAAACAGACAGAAAAGGCAGGUCGGGGGUGCAGGUGCACCCUGCUUUGUGCAGCUCACUCUGAGACAAGGGAUGAGCCCCCAGAGAGACUGCUUUUCAAAAGCAGAUAACUCCCUCUGAUUUGUCAUGGAACUUCAAAAUAGUAAAUGAACCUAGUGAAUUUUUAAAAUAGAAUUCAACUUCGGAAAAAAACAUUCAGCUUGACUUUCUUUAAACAGUCAUUCAUCACAGGUUUGAAAGACAGCACUAAAAAGAAACAAGGAAACUUUCAGAAGAAGGCUGAUGAUGAGUGAGCCUCUGUAUCCCAGAAUUUGAAUUGUCCCAUGUCCCCAAGAACUUGCAGUUCUUAGGAGCCCAGCCAGAAAAGACCAAGGAGAUACCAGGAGUCCCAGCUUUGCAGAAGCUUCAUGAAAUCAAUACUUCCAAAGAAGUUUGCAAUGGAGGCUGUUGCCUAUGAUCUUUCUGAAGCAAGUCAAGGAAGUGAAACUUUAGAAGAACCUUUAAGAAGCCGAUGCGCGUCGUGGCUUUUCAGAAAUGGGAGGCAGUGCAUGGCGUUUCCCAGGUGAGUAUGGUUUUGAACUCUUUGUCUGGGUUUUCCAGAAAGCAGGACUUAAGACAAGGCUUAACUGCAAGCUUUCCACUGGGGGUGAUUAUCCAGGGACACAGAGUGAAGGCCAGGGCGCAUCACAGACAGAUGGAAAGCGGUGUCAGGUGGGUCCUGGAUCUGGCUACCUCUGAGGCUGUUGGUGGCCCGAUCCCACGAGACAGCUCAAAGAGCUGGAGGAAAUGGAUCGGGGGUCUUUCUACUGGGGAGGACGAGGGGGCAACAGUUCUCCACUGGCUUCCAUCACCAUGAGUCAAAGUUUCCCUUCCCCACCUGUGCAGCCUCUGCAAGUCGCAGUGCCUAGCAGGUCCUCACCACGUCCCCUGCCUUUGUGCAGCAUUGGCACCUGCAGGAAGUGGGUCAGUGCCUGCACAGGAGCAAUCACACCAUAGCUUGAGAGACAGCAGAGGCCGAGAGAAUCUGAAACUGUGCUUGAGGGGUGUCUGAUAUGCUCCUGGAGCCGUUAAUUGGAGAACAUUCCAUAAAACAAGGGCUUCAUGGAAGGCUCUCUGAGAAAACAGUUUCAGUGUUCAAUUGCUCUGAUGUGUUAUUUCAUUUACAGACGCACUGGAAAGCUAAUUUAAUUUGAACUUUAUUUGUGUUCAUAUCUGCUGACUGCAUGCUCUGAAAACGAGAAGAUUUCUUAAGGUGUGGAAUACUUCCAUUCUGGCUCAUUCAGCCGAUAUGGUAAAUAUCAUCUUACCAAUAGAGAAGGGCGAAAGAAUACACCAGCAGUUUCUUAUCUAGCCCAGUGGGAGGGAGAAAGAAAAAAGAGGAAGCGAAAGAAAGAGCAUUGCCCAGUAUAAAUUUUGGGACAGUUACAUUAAACAAAAGGAUCAGAAAAUGGAAAUGUAUUCCUUUGAAAUGACUGUAAUCAGCAGAAUGUUGAGGCUGAGAGGAAAGUAAUGAUGGAGAACAAGGCAGGCGAGAGUGUUCAUUUUCUCUGAUGAUGAAGGGUAUACAGUCACAUUUGGAAGAGGAAGGUCAAAUACUGCAGAGGUGCUGAUUUUCAAGAAACCCACUCUGCUUGCCGGAGUCCGUUUUAUGGAUAGAUGGUCAGCAUGAAGGAGCUGUGAGUCACAGUGAGCCUGUGUCCUCUCCCCGGCAGCGCACAGCUAGCAUGUCAUCCAGACAAAGCCAGGAAGGUAAGAAUUAGCGGGAAACCCCAAGACGGCAAUAUUGAUUCAAUCUGGCGUUGGUGUUGCCAUCAAUGAAACAAGCUGGAAUCAUGGGCGUAGAGAGGGAGGAGGCAGAAUGGGCUGGUGGAGGAUGGGGCAAAGUUGCAGUGGGUCAAUUGUGGGGAAAAGUCUGUCCUUUUUACGAUUCCAGAAUUUUUUUUUUCUCUCCAGUAGAGGAUUUAGCCCAGGAGCUUCUACAUGCUAAGCACGUGCUCUGCCACUGAGCUAUUACCCUCCCCUACCAGAAAUGUUCUUUAAAAGCAACAGAACUUGGAUUUUGCAGCCAGUUGACUUAAACUGAAUUUCUGGAUCCUUUGCUUGUGAGCUGUGUAGCUUUGUUAUGGUCAUUUAGCUUCUCUGGCUCAGUUUUCUCAUCUGUAAAAUGGAGAGAAUAAUGUUACGUCAUUUAGUGGCAAAUAACCGAACACCCUACUCAUCCCUAGUUUAAACAAUGCCUUCUUCCAGGCAAGAAGGCUCUAGGCAUUCCUCCAAACAUGUAGCAGAAUAACGGAUAAGAAAAAGUCAUAGUUGAGGCUCAAAAACCACAGAAAUAUAUCUAAAGAUCACAAAUGGAAAAUUAAUACAAAGUGCUUCAGGCUCAGAAAAAAGCAGCGUUGGCCAGGAGUUUUUGACCUGGACAGCAUUACUACAUGCAAAAAAGAAAAAAAAAAAAAAAAAAAAAAAAGGAAGUGGAGGCCAGGCCAAUGCCUGGGCCUGGGUGGGAUUCAAGGCUACAAAUCUAUAAGACUAGAGAAGAAAGACAUGGUAAAGGUGUAGCCUUUUGAUCAGGAUCUGAGUCAAUUCACCUUCACUCAGUGGCUAAACUCAUGGUAUGGGACAAUGGAACCAGGGCCUCAGGGGGUUAGGGAGAGAAAAUACAGAAGUCAUAAAAUUGUAUGCUUCUAACAACACAGCCUCAAAAUACAAAAAGCAAAAACUGGUAUAUUUAUAAAGAAAACUUGACUAAUCCCCCAGAACUCACUGGAAUGUUUUAAUGUAUAUAAAAAAUGAUUUAUUGAGCAGACUUCAAAUUGAUAAAAAUACAGAAAAUAUGAACAGGGCAAUAAAAACUUUGUUCUAAUAAAUGUAGAGACAAUCCUACACCCCCCAAAUGAAGAAUAUAUGCUAUUUUCAAGUAUACAGAGGGUAUUUAUUAAAAAUUUACUAUGCACAGGUCACAAAGGAAUUGUCUGUACCUUUCAAAUGAUAAAUGUCAUAUGAAUAAUGAUUUUCUAAUUGAAAGCAAUUAAAGUAGAAAUGAACAAAAAGAAUAAAAAACAGAUGUAUAUUGGGAAACUUAGACGUGUGCUGCCAAAUAAUUCAUGGGUGUAUGAGUUUCUUAUAGCUGCUGUAACAAAUAACCACAAACUUGGUGGCAUAACACAAUAAAAAGAUAGUUUCUCACAGUUCUGGAGGCCAGAAAUCUGAAAUUAGUAUCACUGGGCUGAAAUCAAAGUGUUGCCAGGGUCAUGCUUCUUCUGGAAACUCUAGGGGAAAAUUUGUUCCUUGAAUCUUCCAGUUCCUGGUAGUUCUGGACAUUCCCAGAAUGUUAGGAUCCUAACAGACACUUUUGGGAGAGAGUGCUAAUAGACCGGUGUUGAAUAUGUCAUCACGGUUAUUCAACAAACCAUGUGUCCCAUCCUUCCUUCCACAUAAAAGUGGUCCACGUGCAAGUUGGUGUUUUUGGAUAGGACUUCCAGGAAAGAUUUUUAAAAGGGUCUCACUCAACUGGGAGGCAAGCACCCUUCUCCCUUUUCCCGUAUCCUUUGUCUUUCUGUUCAGAAUUUGAAUGUGAUGGUUGAAGCACCAGCAGCCAUUUUGUGACCAUGAAUCAACCUUGAAAGUGUAAGCCAGAUGCUAAGAGUAGUGAGCGGAAACAUGGAAAGUGCAGAAAGAUAGGAUAACUGCGUAACCACCUUUGUAUGGCUGGGUCAUGUACCCUUGGACAUUUUUAUGUGAGAGAAAAACACACCUCUAUCAUUUUUAAGCCACUGUCAUUUUCGGUUUAUAUUACUAGUAGCUGAACUUCAUCUUAACUGGUAUAAUGCCUGAUAAAUGUUUACAUUUAAAGCAAAGAAGUGUAAUUUUCAGAAUAACUUAUUCAACACAAGCAGCCUAAACCGAAGGUAGCAAGCCAUCAGGCUGCAGGCUGAAUCCAAAACCAAGUCAGGUUUUUUUUUUUUUCUUUUAAGAUGCAUUAAUUGCCAACAUCAGAAAGCUGAGCGAUUUCAUAUAAACAUUUGGAUUUCUUCUUUAAAAUUUAGAUGGUUUAUCAACAUUGGGCCGCACUCCUACCUGGUUUCAGUGGCUGAGUGAUGGUUGCCCCCUUGGAAUGGGGCCAGGGGUCUUUAUUUCAGCAAGAUCUCUGCUCACUUGGCUUCUCUCACUUAAGGGAGCCGCUUAGCCCCUCCAGGCAAUUAAGUGUGUGGUUUCGAAUAUGAGCUAAUGACAACUCCCAGGCUAGAUUUUUAGCUUUACUUUUGCAGGUUGUUUAAACUGCGUUUCUCAAAGGCAUCCUGUAUCAUUACGUGAAGCUGGGCAGUGGGCACUCCUCCCAUUAUGCAGGUGAAGGGCUAGGAUUAUAUUUGAUAAAACUUUCUGGUGCUCACAUUGUCAGUGCAAAGCUAGUUGUGAACCAGAAUCCCCCAGGAAUCUUUUUUUUUUUUUUUUUUUUAAAUGCAGCUCCCAAGCUCCA